CCUACGAGAGGCAGCAGUAGGGAAUAUUGCUCAAUGGGGGAAACCCUGAAGCAGCAACGCCGCGUGGAGGAUGACGGUUUUCGGAUUGGAAACUCCUUUUGUUAGAGAAGAUAAUGACGGUCUCUAACGAAUAAGCACCUGCUAACUCCGUGCCAGCAGCCGCGGUAAUACGGAGGGUGCAAGCGUUACCCGGAAUCACUGGGCGUAAAGAGCGCGUAGGCGGGAUAGCAAGUCAGAUGUGAAAUCCUAUGGCUUAACCAUAGAACUGCAUUUGAAACUGUUAUUCUAGAGUAUGGGAGAGGUAGGUGGAAUGCUUGGUGUAGGGGUAAAAUCCGUAGAGAUCAAGAGGAAUACUCAUUGCGAAGGCGACCUGCUAGAACAUAACUGACGCUGAUGCGCGAAAGCGUGGGGAGCAAACAGGAUUAGAUACCCUUGUAGUC
RNAcentral lists this ribosomal RNA (440 nucleotides) under uncultured bacterium. RNAcentral's name for it is "partial 16S ribosomal RNA". It matches the Rfam family "Bacterial small subunit ribosomal RNA", at positions 338 to 795 of the family's 1533-position model. The record is from RNAcentral.